This 475-nucleotide ribosomal RNA is filed under the name uncultured archaeon. Its description in RNAcentral is "bacterial SSU rRNA". It matches the Rfam family "Archaeal small subunit ribosomal RNA", at positions 15 to 466 of the family's 1478-position model. The record is from RNAcentral.
UGCCGGACCCGACUGCUAUCGGAUUGAGAUUUAGCCACGCGAGUCGAACGUCCCCCUGUUGCGGGGGGCGUGGCGUACGGCUCAGUAACACGUAGUCAACCUGCCCUGGAGACACGGACAACCCCGGGAAACUGGGACUAAUCCGUGAUAGGUCACCUCAUCUGGAAGGAGAGAUGGCCCAAAGGGGCGCGCGGGCUUCUUCUGCGCGUUCGCUCCAGGAUGGGACUGCGACCGAUCAGGCUGUUGGCGGGGUAAAGGCCCACCAAACCUGUAACCGGUACGGGCCUUGAGAGAGGUGGCCCGGAGAUGGACACUGAGAAAAGGGUCCAGGUCCUACGGGGCGCAGCAGGCGCGAAACCUUCGCAAUGCGCGAAAGCGCGACGAGGUUAAUCCGAGUGAUUUCCGCUGAGGAGACCUUUUGUCGGCUGUAAAUAGGCCGGCGAAUAAGGGGAGGGCAAGCCUGGUGUCAGCCGCA